RNAcentral lists this ribosomal RNA (497 nucleotides) under uncultured bacterium. Its description in RNAcentral is "partial 16S ribosomal RNA". It matches the Rfam family "Bacterial small subunit ribosomal RNA", at positions 28 to 507 of the family's 1533-position model. The record is from RNAcentral.
GAUGAACGCUGGCGGCGUGCCUAAUACAUGCAAGUCGAGCGAACAGACGAGGAGCUUGCUCCUCUGACGUUAGCGGCGGACGGGUGAGUACCACGUGGCUAACCUACCUAUAAGACUGGGAUAACUUCAGGAAACCGGAUCUAAUACCGGAUAAUAUAUUGAACCUCAUGGUUCAAUAGUGAAAGACGGUUUUGCUGUCACUUAUAGAUGGAUCCGCGCCGCAUUAGUUAGUUGGUAAGGUAAAGGCUUACCAAGGCGACGAUGCGUAGCCGACCUGAGAGGAUGAUAAGACAGACGGGAACUGAGACACGGUCCAGACUCCUACGGGAGGCAGCAGUGGGGAAUAUUGGGAAAUGGGCGAAAGCCUGAUCCAGCCAUGCCGCGGAUAUGAAGAAGGUGUUCGGAUGGUAAAGCACUUUAAGUUGGGAGGAAGUGAAGUAAGUUAAUACCUUGCUGUUUUGACGUUACCAGCAGAAUAAGCACCGGCUAACUUCGUG